Molecule: ribosomal RNA, 118 nt
Filed under: Salmonella enterica
Lineage: Bacteria; Pseudomonadati; Pseudomonadota; Gammaproteobacteria; Enterobacterales; Enterobacteriaceae
Also listed under: 1 other name
Description: partial 23S ribosomal RNA
Rfam family: Bacterial large subunit ribosomal RNA (bases 1-106)
Source: RNAcentral
AGGUCUCCUGAAGGAACGUUGAAGACGACGACGUUGAUAGGCCGGGUGUGUAAGCGCAGCGAUGCGUUAAGCUAACCGGUACUAAUGAACCGUGAGGCUUAACCUUACAACGCCGAAG